This 329-nucleotide unclassified non-coding RNA is filed under the name soil metagenome. RNAcentral describes it as "partial contains 5.8S ribosomal RNA, internal transcribed spacer 2, and large subunit ribosomal RNA". The stretch from base 1 to 120 matches the Rfam family "5.8S ribosomal RNA", at positions 35 to 154 of the family's 154-position model. The record is from RNAcentral.
GAUGAAGAACGUAGCUAAAUGCGAUAAGUAAUGUGAAUUGCAGAAUUCAGUGAAUCAUCGAAUCUUUGAACGCACAUUGCGCCCCCUGGUAUUCCGGGGGGCAUGCCUGUCCGAGCGUCAUUACAACCCUCAAGCUCAGCUUGGUGUUGGGCCCCGCCGCCCCGGCGGGCCCUAAAGUCAGUGGCGGUGCCGUCCGGCUCCGAGCGUAGUAAUUCUUCUCGCUCUGGAGGCCCGGUCGUGUGCUCGCCAGCAACCCCCAAUUUUUUUCAGGUUGACCUCGGAUCAGGUAGGGAUACCCGCUGAACUUAAGCAUAUCAAUAAGCGGAGGA